CGUAGGGUGCAAGCGUUAAUCGGAAUUACUGGGCGUAAAGCGUGCGCAGGCGGUUAUAUAAGACAGUUGUGAAAUCCCCGGGCUCAACCUGGGAACUGCAUCUGUGACUGUAUAGCUAGAGUACGGUAGAGGGGGAUGGAAUUCCGCGUGUAGCAGUGAAAUGCGUAGAUAUGCGGAGGAACACCGAUGGCGAAGGCAAUCCCCUGGACCUGUACUGACGCUCAUGCACGAAAGCGUGGGGAGCAAACAGGAUUAGAUACCCUGGUAGUCCACGCCCUAAACGAUGUCAACUGGUUGUUGGGUCUUCACUGACUCAGUAACGAAGCUAACGCGUGAAGUUGACCGCCUGGGGAGUACGGCCGCAAGGUUG
Molecule: ribosomal RNA, 370 nt
Filed under: uncultured organism
Description: bacterial SSU rRNA
Rfam family: Bacterial small subunit ribosomal RNA
Source: RNAcentral